Molecule: small RNA, 2418 nt
Filed under: Pyricularia oryzae
Lineage: Eukaryota; Fungi; Ascomycota; Sordariomycetes; Magnaporthales; Pyriculariaceae
Description: Magnaporthe oryzae sRNA M_BR32_EuGene_00146951
Source: RNAcentral
UUUUCUUUCUUAUUAUUAUUAAUUUUAACCAAAAUAAUCCUAUUACUUUUCGUAAUACCGUUAUUAUUUUUGUUAAUUAUUUUAAAAAUUCUGCAAUAAAUUAAUUCUGCGCCGCCCUAGAUAUACUUGUUUUAUUAAUUGUGGUUAUAACGUAUCCGUCGCGUUACCGGUUCGAACAAAUUCGAAAAUAAUUCCGACGACGAAAAGUACGCCGCGUUUAAAUAACGUAUUCUGGUUUUUUUAUUGCAUUAAACUUUCCAGAAUUAUUAAUGUUUUAAAUUAUCGCCCCCAUUUCGCCGGAACGGUUUGCAAUUAAUAUAAUAAAUAUAAAAAAUCCUUUUAUAACCACGGCAAAAAAUUGCAUAUCCAAAACCUUUUUUUGCAUUAUUAAUUAUAUAGUUUGUAAUAUAUUAUAAUCGGCGAUCGCCAUAUUAUGUCCCCCAAAAUAUUAAUAAUGCGUAAUAUUAGUAAUAAAACUGUUAAAUUUGGGUAUAAUACCGAAAUAACGGCCGAAUUUAAUUUCGUUAAUACCGCGUAUAUAUAUAAAUAUAAUCGGUUUCGGAACGAAAAAUGUUUUGGCGCGAUUUUUACUUUUGGCGGCCCUAACGUUUUACUUUUAAUAUACCGCAACGGUAAUGAUAAAACCGUUUAAUAAUUUACUAUUAAUUUCGUUUAAAAUCUAAAAUAUAAAAAAAUAAAAACCCAUUUUCUUCCAACCCAUAAUUAAAUAAAUAUUAAUUGGUUAAGUUUAAAACGUAAUAAUAAACAUUAUUAAUAAUUGCUGGAAAUUUAACGUAAAUCCGCUAUUACCCAACGCGAAAUUAACGCCGUUAUUUUUAUUUUCCCGGCUGUUAUUUAUACGCGUUCCGAACCCCGCGUAAUGCGGUAUUGAUUUGAUUCUUUUACCGCCCCGUUUAAUUUAUAUACGGUUCUUUUCGCGACGUUUUUAUUUUUAAUUUCUAACCCCGUUCUGAUUUUUAUAAAUAUUUUAAAUAAUUGCGCCGUAAUUUUUUUAUAUUUUUUAUUUUCGUCGUCCAAACGUUUACGCGGAAAAAUUUUUUGUUCCGUUUUUAUUAUAUUUCGCUAAAACGCGCGCCGUCGUUUUUAAUAAAAUUCCGUUACGCGGUCCGCCGUUACCGUUUGAAUGUUUAUUGUUUUUUUAAUUUUCCGCCGCCGCGUUUGAAUUUCUUUAUUUAAUAUAAUAAUAAUAUUAAAUAUAUAAAUUAUUAUAUACCGGAUUUGCAGAAAUAUAAUUAAUAUAAUAAUAAUUAAUAUAAUUAAUAUAACCAAUAAAUAUUUAUCGCCGUUUGUCACCGUCUCGUCGUUUAUUCUUAUCUUAUUAUUUUCAUUUUUACUAUUCCCCGGCGUACGGGGAUUGGCCGGUUUAUAUAUUAAUUCUUUUCAAAUAAAAUUAUUUUUUCCGUAAAAUUGAACCGGUCCCGGGGUUUUUAAUAUUUUUAUUAUAUUUGGUUACGCCUAAAUAUUUUACCCAUUUAUUCCGUUAUUGAAAUAUAUAAAUAUAAAACGCGCAAUAAUUUCGCGUUACGCCGUUGUAAAUCCGUAAUAUUUUUUUUCCGUAUUCGUGGUUAUAAAAAAUCCGGCGCGACGGUCGCGGUUGGUUAAUAACGUUUCGAAAACGGUUUGUUAUUAGUACGGACGCUUUUCCAACGAAUUUUAAAUAUAUUCAAAAUAUUAAUAUCCGCUAUAAAUCCGGUUUCCACGUGGGGUUAUUAUAAUAUUAUUAUUUUAUUAAUAUUUGGCGGCCGUUUUGUUUCCCUGCGGUUCUUCGCGGCCAAAAUCGCUUUUGCGGCCCAAACUUUUCGGGUUUGUCGAAUGUUUUUAUCGGUUAAAACUUAAAACCGGGCCGGAAAUCGGUCCGAAUUUACAAAAAUAAUAAAUUAUAAACGGCCCGUUCUAUUAAUUUUAUAUAAAAAAUAGGAUGAAUCUUUUAUAAAAUAUUUAACGUAACCGUAAAACAAAAUCGGUACCGCUAUUACCCGGUAUUUUUCAUAAAUAUAAUCGAGUUUUUUAUAUAGGCGGUUUAUAAAUAUAUUUUUAAAUUAAAAGAUAUUCCGUCCCCAACCCGGAAUUAUUCGGUUGGGCGUUAUAAUUCGCUCGCCCCGAUUAUUUAAUAUUAUUAAUUAUAUAUAAUAAUAGUUUGGAUUAAUUCGGAAUUGUUCCGUAAAUAUUCCAAAAAUUCCGUGGUUUUGAUUUUCGGAUUUAAAAUUAAGAUUUUGGAAAGAAAAUAAUAUUUAAAACCGUUUUAAUAUUAAAACCCAAUAAUAAUUUAUUUAAAUUCACCCCCGCUACGGAUAAAUUCCGGUUAUUAAAAGCUUAUUAUAUAAUUUCCAAAUAAUUGGAUUAAUUUAUUUAAUUAAAAAUUAUAUAAAUUUUGAAAUAUUAUCGGAUUUUUUAAUU